CCUACGGGAGGCAGCAGUGGGGAAUAUUGCACAAUGGGGGAAACCCUGAUGCAGCAACGCCGCGUGAAGGAAGACGGUUUUCGGAUUGUAAACUUCUGUUCUUAGUGAAGAAUAAUGACGGUAGCUAAGGAGCAAGCCACGACUAACUACGUGCCAGCAGCCGCGGUAAUACGUAGGUGGCAAGCGUUGUCCGGAAUUACUGGGUGUAAAGGGAGCGCAGGCGGGAAGCCAAGUCAGCUGUGAAAACUACGGGCUUAACUUGUAGACUGCAGUUGAAACUGGUUUGCUUGAGUGAAGUAGAGGUUGGCGGAAUUCCGGGUGUAGCGGUGAAAUGCGUAGAUAUUCGGAGGAACACCGGUGGCGAAGGCGGCCAACUGGGCUUUAACUGACGCUGAGGCUCGAAAGCGUGGGGAGCGAACAGGAUUAGAUACCCUAGUAGUC
RNAcentral lists this ribosomal RNA (441 nucleotides) under uncultured bacterium. Its description in RNAcentral is "partial 16S ribosomal RNA". It matches the Rfam family "Bacterial small subunit ribosomal RNA", at positions 338 to 795 of the family's 1533-position model. The record is from RNAcentral.